This 239-nucleotide ribosomal RNA is filed under the name uncultured bacterium. RNAcentral describes it as "partial 16S ribosomal RNA". It matches the Rfam family "Bacterial small subunit ribosomal RNA", at positions 524 to 761 of the family's 1533-position model. The record is from RNAcentral.
UACGAAGGGGGCUAGCGUUGUUCGGAUUUACUGGGCGUAAAGCGCACGUAGGCGGAUUGUUAAGUGAGGGGUGAAAUCCUGGAGCUCAACUCCAGAACUGCCUUUCAUACUGGCAAUCUAGAGUCCGGAAGAGGUGAGUGGAACUCCUAGUGUAGAGGUGGAAUUCGUAGAUAUUCGCAAGAACACCAGUGGCGAAGGCGGACUCACUGGCCCGGUACUGACGCUGAGGUGCGAAAGCG